UUGAAGACGUGAUGUGGAGUGAAAUAUAGUAACGAAGCCCGUGGGCCAUGCGUCAAGAAAAGCCGCUAUUGUUUAUAUUGUACCCGUACCGUAAACCGACACAGGUGGAUGAGGAGAGAAUCCUAAGGCCGGCGGAAGAAGUAUUGCCAAGGAACUCGGCAAAAUGGCCCCGUAACUUAGGGAGAAGGGGUGCCUGCGAGAGCAGGCCGCAGAGAAUAGGCUCAAGCAACUGUUUAGCAAAAACACAGGUCUAUGCGUAACCGAAAGGUGAGGUAUAUGGGCUGACGCCUGCCCGGUGCUGGAAGGUUAAGAGGAGAGGUUAGCGGCAACGCGAAGCUUUGAAUUUAAGCCCCAGUAAACGGCGGCCGUAACGAUAACGGUCCUAAGGUAGCGAAAUUCCUUGUCGGGUAAGUUCCGACCCGCACGAAAGGCGUAAUGAUUUGAGCGCUGUCUCGGCAAUACAUCCGGUGAAAUUGAAGUGCCAGUGAAGAUGCUGGCUACCCGCGCCAGGACGGAAAGACCCCAUGGAGCUUUACUCCAGUUUGGCACUGGGGUCCGGUGUUGCAUGUACAGGAUAGGUGGGAGGCUGAGAAACGGUAACGUCAGUUGCCGCGGAGCCGCUGUUGGGAUACCACCCUUGUGAUAUUGGGCUUCUAACCAGCCGCCGUGAUCCGGCGGUGGGACAAUGCCAGGCGGGGAGUUUGACUGGGGCGGUCGCCUCCGAAAGGGCAUCGGAGGCGCCCAAAGGUUCCCUCAGAAUGGACGGAAACCAUUCGAAGAGUGCAAAGGCAGAAGGGAGCUUGACUGCGACACCGACGGGUGGAGCAGGUACGAAAGUAGGGCUUAGUGAUCCGGUGGUAUUAAGUGGGAAUGCCAUCGCUCAACGGAUAAAAGCUACCCUGGGAAUAACAGGCUUAUCACUCCCAAGAGUUCACAUCGACGGAGUGGUUUGGCACCUCGAUGUCGGCUCAUCGCAUCCUGGGGCUGUAGUAGGUCCCAAGGGUUGGGCUGUUCGCCCAUUAAAGCGGUACGCGAGCUGGGUUCAGAACGUCGUGAGACAGUUCGGUCCCUAUCCGGCGUGGGCGCAGGAUAUCUGAGAGGAGCUGUCCUUAGUACGAGAGGACCGGGAUGGACGGACCGCUGGUGGACCGGUUGGCUUGCCAAAGCCAUGGCCGGGUAGCCAAGUCCGGAAGGGAUAAACGCUGAAGGCAUCUAAGCGUGAAGCCCCCCUCAAGAUGAGAUAUCCCAUUCUUUAAGAAGUAAACCCCCUUGAAGACGACGAGGUAGAUAGGGCAGAGGUGGAAGUGUGGCAACACAUGGAGCUGACUGUUACUAAUCGGGUGAGGGCUUGACC
This 1354-nucleotide ribosomal RNA is filed under the name metagenome. RNAcentral describes it as "bacterial LSU rRNA". It matches the Rfam family "Bacterial large subunit ribosomal RNA", at positions 1555 to 2925 of the family's 2925-position model. The record is from RNAcentral.